Molecule: long non-coding RNA, 259 nt
Organism: Neltuma alba
Lineage: Eukaryota; Viridiplantae; Streptophyta; Magnoliopsida; Fabales; Fabaceae
Exons: 3
Source: RefSeq, a predicted model, not a curated record
GAGAGCGCGAGCGAGAGAGGGAGAGCCCGGGAGAAGAGGCUGUGCUGAAUCUUGGUGAUCGGAGGUAGUUUUCUUGCAUGCAAUCAGCGAAUCUGCCUAAGGUUUAUAUAUAUGCUCAAGCCCACCAAGAAGCAGAAAGAAAGGAGAAUGGUAAGGUUUGGUUUGGAGGGAAGCAGACCAGUGAAAGCUAGUAGCCCGAAGGACAAGGAGGUUGUUUAAGAAGAAGGUGGGCUGAUUGAAGAGCAGAGAUACCUGUUAU